Molecule: long non-coding RNA, 1322 nt
Organism: Cygnus atratus (black swan)
Lineage: Eukaryota; Metazoa; Chordata; Aves; Anseriformes; Anatidae
Exons: 5
Source: RefSeq, a predicted model, not a curated record
UGAGGUGCGCAGCCUGCCCGCGGUGGGCACGUGCGGCGGAGGGGGGGGGGGGGGGCGGACGUUCCGCGCUCGCUGUCUCGCGCCGGCCGUUAACGGUCCCCACGGCCCGUGAGGUGAUUGCGUUCCCACCCCCCCCACCCGCUCUCGCCCGAGGAACUGCGGGGGGAAAAAGCGGCUCGGAGCGCCCUGCCGAGGGCACCGCUUGGCUGCCCACCCUCCCCGGGCUGUGUGCUGCUGCCCGUGAGGGAAAGAAGUGGAAAAAAAAAAUUGGAACAAUAAGGGUAAAAUCACCGUGUUGGGUCUCCACCAACAGCGAGGUGCCGUAAUUGCCAGAAAACAGUGAAAAGGUGGAUCCAGAUAGGAAAAGGGGAGCUGUCAGUUUCCUGCUGUGACAUGCACGGUCCUUGGUCAUCUUCCCUACAGACAUUGAUGAGGGAAAGUUGGGAAGUUAUCAGCUCAAGCAGCCUUUCACCAGUGAAGCUCUCCAAAAAGUUGUAUUUUUAGAACAAACAAACAAAAAAGCACACCAAACAGUUUCGGUACCAGAAACAGACUGUCUCCCAAGUGUGGCAACUCCGUUGCAAAGACUGCAGAGCCCCCUCAGCGCAUCGUUGGCUAUAAGGAGGUCCCCAGCACCAAGAUUUGCUCUUUUUAAGGUGCCAGAAGUCCUCAGCGUUAUCGACAUGCAGCUGCUGUUUGUGCAGCACAAUGCCCUCUGAAGCUUCCUCCCUGAGGCUGCGCCGUGUCUUCCUGCAGCAGGUCAGCACCAGGCCGGGACAGGUGACAUUUUCCCCGUGAUAGCUACCCCGCAAGGACAGUACUGGCCUGGUCCCACCAUUCGUUGCCCACCUACAGCAGCUGUGCGGGGCCAAGCAGGGCCCACUAUGGGCUGUGGAAGCUCCAGUGGCUCUGGGCAGGAGUUCAUGCCCCUCUCGCUGCCAUCACCGCAUCCCUCAAGCCGGACACCGCAGCACCCUCAGCCCUGUGGGGCACCAAGGGCAUGCACCUGGGACGUGCCUGAGAGGAGCCAGUGUUGUCUUCCUCCCCGAGCCACGCACCCCCAGCUCCAAGGGAUCGACCUGCACCGAGGGCCCGGCCAUCUGUGACAAGAACCUACCGUGUAAAACAAUCCUGCCUUUCAGAUCCUUUCAGCAGGAGCAACCCACGCCAGCACCCCCACAAAGCACCAGGGGACAGGACGUGGCUUCUCAGUGCUACUGGAGGGGCUUCCAGUCCUUGCAUCUCUUCAAACAAAAUGUCCCAAAGGCAUUUAUGCAGCCACAGCAAACCAGAGCUUAUUGACUCUGCUCAAGUCAGACACU